Molecule: long non-coding RNA, 479 nt
Filed under: Homo sapiens (human)
Lineage: Eukaryota; Metazoa; Chordata; Mammalia; Primates; Hominidae
Description: HSALNT0326668
Source: RNAcentral
GGGAUUACUACUUAGCAAAUUCCAAUUGUUGGCAAGAGGAGCUUACCCCACUGGGGAGCUCUGGGAGCCAGUGUAGAGCAUUGCUGGUCUUUCCACCUGAGGAGCCAGGGAGCUGGAGGGAGCUGGAGCAGUCAUUGCUGCAAGGUGCUGGCAUGGGCAGGCAGGCAUCAGUUCUUCAACACUUCCAGCUUGCCCUGGGGCAGACAGGUUCCAGCAACCAGAGGAAGCCUCCCAGACAAAGAGGUUCAAAUGCUGGUAGUUCUGGGUGGGCAGCCAGUAUUACAAUAGUAAGGCCCUAGAAGACUUGAGCGCAGCUCCAACCAUGAAUGCUGCAGGAUAAUUGAUGGUUUUGCUGAGACCUGGCAAGUCACAGGCACUCAAUAAAUAUUUUUUGAAUAAAUGAAUAACCUGAAAAUUCUCUGAUAAAAAAAAGUUGCAUUCAACUUUCACUGUCAUUAAAAAAAAAAUCAUAGGGAAAC